RNAcentral lists this transfer RNA (73 nucleotides) under Streptococcus dysgalactiae subsp. dysgalactiae. RNAcentral describes it as "tRNA-Phe". It matches the Rfam family "tRNA". From Rfam's summary of the family: Transfer RNA (tRNA) molecules are approximately 80 nucleotides in length. Their secondary structure includes four short double-helical elements and three loops (D, anti-codon, and T loops). The record is from RNAcentral. Lineage: Bacteria; Bacillati; Bacillota; Bacilli; Lactobacillales; Streptococcaceae.
GGGAAUAUAGCUCAUUUGGUAGAGCGUCGGUUUGAAGUACCGAAAGUCACUGGUUCAACUCCGGUUAUUCCCA